AGAGUUUGAUCCUGGCUCAGGACGAACGCUGGCGGCGUGCUUAACACAUGCAAGUCGAACGGAAAGGCCCUUCGGGGUACUCGAGUGGCGAACGGGUGAGUAACACGUGGGUAAUCUGCCCUGCACAUCGGGAUAAGCCUGGGAAACUGGGUCUAAUACCGAAUAGGACCACAGGACACAUGUCCUGUGGUGGAAAGCUUUUGCGGUGUGGGAUGGGCCCGCGGCCUAUCAGCUUGUUGGUGGGGUGAUGGCCUACCAAGGCGACGACGGGUAGCCGGCCUGAGAGGGUGUCCGGCCACACUGGGACUGAGAUACGGCCCAGACUCCUACGGGAGGCAGCAGCGGGGAAUAUUGCACAAUGGGCGAAAGCCUGAUGCAGCGACGCCGCGUGGGGGAUGACGGCCUUCGGGUUGUAAACCUCUUUCACCAUCGACGAAGGUCCGGGUUUUCUCGGGCUGACGGUAGGUGGAGAAGAAGCACCGGCCAACUACGUGCCAGCAGCCGCGGUAAUACGUAGGGUGCGAGCGUUGUCCGGAGUUACUGGGCGUAAAGAGCUCGUAGGUGGUUUGUCGCGUUGUUCGUGAAAUCUCACGGCUUAACUGUGAGCGUGCGGGCGAUACGGGCAGACUUGAGUACUGCAGGGGAGACUGGAAUUCCUGGUGUAGCGGUGGAAUGCGCAGAUAUCAGGAGGAACACCGGUGGCGAAGGCGGGUCUCUGGGCAGUAACUGACGCUGAGGAGCGAAAGCGUGGGGAGCGAACAGGAUUAGAUACCCUGGUAGUCCAA
Molecule: ribosomal RNA, 785 nt
Filed under: uncultured bacterium
Lineage: Bacteria
Description: bacterial SSU rRNA
Rfam family: Bacterial small subunit ribosomal RNA
Source: RNAcentral